Molecule: long non-coding RNA, 4410 nt
Filed under: Spirodela polyrhiza (greater duckweed)
Lineage: Eukaryota; Viridiplantae; Streptophyta; Magnoliopsida; Alismatales; Araceae
Description: long non-coding RNA (SPOL_LNC002195)
Source: RNAcentral
UGGGAGGUAGACGAAGACCCCGGAGAUUCGGCCGCUCAUCCGCUUCUGAUCCGUGUUGCUGAACUCGCGUCGAGAGGGAGGUGCCGUCGUUCAUUUACUUCGGGCUGCGGGCGAUCACGAGGAGGUGCGUCGUUUCCUCCGGUCUCUGUUUCUGAUUUACGGCGCAGUUUUCCGUUCAGGUCUAAGCUCCGACGAGUUAUGGAGAUUAAGAAUGCUCCCCCUGCCUAAGUGCUCGCCAUCAGAAUUGAUGAAUGCAGACUUGAAAACUUCUGAGCUCAGAUGUAUGUCAGUUCAGAGAACGAAGGAUUACAGUGAGGCACUACCUGUUGGAUUCAAAUUUUCUUUUAGCACCAGUUUCGUUCAGUUCGUUUUCCAGAUAUUUUGAUCGACAUAGAACACAAGCAUGGAAAAUAGUUGUCCUAGGCACGCAAAUAAGCAAACUUCUGUGUGUCACUGCAAGUAUCACGAGGUAAAAUACCUCCAAUAAGACAAUCAAGAUCAUCCGGCUUUAAACAAUUGACAAUAUGCAUUCUGAUAGAGUUCAUUUUCCACACCAAAAUUUUUGGAACAUUCUUGACCUUCCUGGUAAGAGGCUACACAUAAGCCAGAUAGCAAUAAAUACUUUUGUUCUGAUACACAAGGGGCUCUAUACACCACAUCUUGCCCAUUACCUUGACAAUUUUGAUAAAAAAAAAACUCGAGUCCAGAAAGAAGGAACGGACUUGGUAUCCUCGAACAGCGACAAAUGGAGCCGUCAAUCCAAACUGGGACCAUAUGAGAUAUCUCUCUCCGCUGGUCAGAAUCCCCUGGUACAAUGUGGAGUAUGGCCGUAGGAACACUUCAAACUUGACUUGAGCCCAUCAAUUUUGUCAACUGUACAUCCACUGGAACAAUACUCUGGAAAACUUGUUCCUGAAUCUGCACCUAUACAGCGUCUGUUCCAUAAUUCGAUCGGUAAAUAUUUACAAUAUGCCAAUAGCUCCAAUGGAUUCGGGCAUUUCUACAAGCUGGAUGGCAUUGUGGACAGGGAGUUGACUGGAAACCACCAAGAUGACCCGAAAGUCAGUUGAAAAAAUAAGUAGACGUUAGAACUUCAUGCAGGUCAAAAUCGCCUCGGUCUGGCAGGGGUGGAAAUGUUAAUGUCGGGAAAGAAGAUUGGAAGCUCUCAAGCAACUGCAUACAUUCAAGACCAAUAACAACAUAAGUUAACUGAAAGGUUGAAGUAGGGAAAAUUUGAAAUAUUGGGCAUCAAUCCAUUCUGCAAGAAGAUAAAGCUCCGUAUGUUCACUCACAUUCUCAAGAAUUGGAGUGCUGUAGAGCUCCACAAAUUGCUCCCUUAAAAUCCGAUUCAUCUCAUCAACAUCACACGCAUGUGUCCAAAAUGAGUCAUGUACCCCUAUGUGCAAAUUCCGUUCAUGUCAGGUUAAGUAAUCAUGAUUUCAGGGGUCUUUUCAUUGCAAAAAAUGCAUUUAUAUUCCGUUAUGAAUUACCACAUGAAAAACAUCGGUUUUCUCCAUUAAAAAAACACUAUCCCACCUAGAAAAAUAAAAUAUUCCAGUGAUUGCAAAUCCUCUAAAAUAGACAAGUGAUGGUCAUCAUUAUCAAAAUUCUUCUCCAAAAUCACUUGAUAAAUUCCCCUAAUAGUAGGAGUAGGAGUAGAGUUUCAAAUGCGGAAGGCAAACCUGCAAACUCUAAACCCGCAUCCCUGCAUGCAGUGGCAGUCAUCAUCAUAUGUGAACCAUCAAGUGAAUGUACGAAGUUUGGAGGGAACGCAGUUGCCUGCCGUUUAACAGCAACCUGCAGCCGGCAAUUAAGUGGCAUGACUUAGCCAAAUAACUCUUGCCUACGAGCAAGUUAAAGUAAAUUGGAAGCUAAAUGACGAACUAGAUCUUACUGAGUCGCUGUCACGUUGUAAAGACAAAACCUGAAGGGAGGUUUUGAUCUGCAGCCAUCAAAAGAAGAAAAUAGAUAUGAGGAAGAAACUCAAGAGAAAAACACCUUGAGCUACGCACAGUUAUGCAUCAUUACACAAGAAAAUAGCUGUUUGAAUGAGAACUGCAAAUAUUCCUGCUUCAGUUUUUAACUUGAUAGCCUAGCAAUCAGUUACAGAAACUUCAUUUUUUUGCAGCCAUUCUCUGUUCUAGUUUUUUUUUUCCCUAUAUUCAAUUUCAUCCAAUGAAAUUUUUAAAGUUGUAGGUAGUACUCUGGAACUAGAGAACUUAAAACUCAGAAAGCACUUGAAACUGAGAUCCUGGAAUUGGACCACUUGACCGGUCAAGUUCCAGCUUAAACUGCAUCACUAGGAUUUCUGCCAAGGAAAUUUUUUAUGUUCUGAUUAAAAAAAUAUAUGAAAUUCGAGCAACCUUAAUCGAAACAACAUAUGUACUGCCGAAAAACGGACUCCAUUUGAUAUUGUUACUUUGCUUUAGCCACACCAAAAAAAUAAUAUCAAAAAAUAUCAUUCUACUCAGUACCCAUCCUUAGCAUGAUAGGAUUUGAAUUAAGAUUCUUUUAGUCUCCAAGAGGUUGCAGACAGCCAAAGAAAAUCUGAGUCUCCGAAUGGAACCAGGAACUUACAAGGUGCCUCUCACUCUUCACAUAGGGUUGUACAAUGGGGAGACCAAGAGGGCUCGUCCAUCUCACAGGCUGGUUCUGCGAAGCAAUGACCUGCACAUGAUUUCACCAAUCGUAUAUUCAUGAGAGGGCCCACUAGAUGCACCACAUCAGAACCAUGGUACAGAUCAUUUUCAUGUCGCUUAGAUCUCAGGAAUAACUUAAGUAGUUUCCAAUCCUGAUGGCCCCACCUUUGCACAACUAGUCAGCCAGCUCAUGAUCCCACGUGCUGAUUGGAACAUUUCUUCCAAGGCAGCCAACGUCACCUGUGUAAUUAGGGGUAAAUUAUAGUUGAAUUGAUUAAAACCAAGCAAAUUGAUUUUUGCAUCAGAUGACAGAAGAAUAGAUACCUUAGCUGCAUAGCAAGAUACCCGAUAAAGCAAUUUCUCAUCAUCAAUGAGCCCUCGUUCCUCCAAUCUCCUCUUAAUCUGUUCCCGCGCCCCAACAUAUGUCACACCGUAGACUGAUGUCAUCACCGUCUGCUUGACUAAUUUCCUGUCCACCUGAAUACUACCAAGACCCAAAAUCAUUCAUUGAAAUGUUAGAAAACAUUUGGCGAAUCUCAUUCUAGCACAAAAGAGGGAAAUCUACGCUCUGGAUUCUGAAUAAGAAACCUGAUUGAGUAAAAUCCUAGCCAGUAGGGCAUUUGAAUUAGUGGCAGGAUCUUUCUCCGAAUCUUUUCUGAUGGUGUCAAGAACCCUUCAAAGAUUUGGGGCAGUAUUAGGUCAGUAGCACUAAGGAAUGAACUAAACAUUGGAAAUAUGCCACUCAUAUCAUCUAAAUGAAGAUCAGAACAUAGAGAAAUAUAGACGAGAAAUCUCACAAAUAUGCACAGAAAUACAUUUACAGCUGAUCAACGAUAGUCAAAGCAAUUCAUGUUCCAGAUAGUCCCCUGACACUAUGAAGCCAUAUCUCAUACCUAGCAGCUAUCCUUGAAUAUACAUCUGCAGGCUUCUCUCCAGCCACCAGAUUAACUGCAGCAGCCCCUGGCUGAGAAUUAGAACCAGAAAGCAUGAGAAAAUUUAGAAAAGUCGUCAGGAAUCUACAUAGACAACUUAAUCAUCACAAAUUAUAAAAACAACUGAAUGAGCUUACACAGUCCCUUCCCAAAGCUGCAUAAUGCUGCAAGCCAUUACAUGAGCCAUCCUGAAAACAGUUAAACCUUUAUUACAUCAGAAUAUUAGAACAAAGGUGACUCGGGAGGCCAUAGCACUCCUGCUUCACUCAAGAAAAGACUGGUCACCCCAGACUAAAUCCAUGGGAGAUCUAAAAAAUGACCAAGAAAUGAUCAGAUAUAUAACUGACUGCCACCAAGACUCAAGUAACGAAGGACAAGUUUGGCAUGACGAUGGAAGCCUGGUCUACAAUCUCAAAUAAAACUGCACAUUCAUAACGUAUACCAAAAAGACAGAGAAACAGAGGUAUAUCACUCAGAAAAGAGAAGUGAAAAAAAAAUCCAACAAUCCGACUCUAAAGGAUGAAAUUAUUUGUUUAUUACUUCAAAGGGAGUAUGAAAGCCCUUUCAGAAUGAAAUGAGUCAUUUUUUGCUACUCUGCCAAAGAAAAAAUAAACAGAACAAAAAAUAACUAGAAUCAACCACCACACCAUAGAACGUGGGGUCAUCAAUGCAAAGUUAAACCUCUGUGGAAUCAUGUAUUAUGUUCAACUGCAUAACAUCUGAUGGUACCUGAUGAAUGGGCAGGUGGGAGACAGCACUGUUGGGCGAUGAGCUUUUCAGGACGUCAGAGAGGCUGAAGCAUGCCGCCAGGCACUGCAAAGGGUCCUCAGCACUCAGCC